GCACGACCUUACUUGAACAGGAUCUGUUCUAUAGGCUCGUACCUCUGUAUUCUUGAUUCCUAAGAAGACAGAAACCCAUGUCUGGUUGAUGAGCCAUGACCAUGUAACCAGAGCGUGAUUAACAGAGCUUAUGGUCUUGACCAUGGCUCAGUAGAGGAUCGUUGCCAGCCCAUCUGAUGGGUUCUGGCAUGGUUACAUGGUUGUCUGACAGACAACUUCCCUUUUUUCCCUUUUUUGUGUUGAUUCGGUUCUUUAGUUUGCAAGGAUCAGUCCUCUUUUUGUCGUCCGCUCAACUCUUCUCUUCUAUUCGAUUUAGCAGUUCUUGUUAAGUGACAUGUUGGCUUACCAGAAACUUUAAAUAAGAAAUUCAAAGGGAUCGAAAGCGUCAUUUCAUGACUCUGUAAUGUCUUCUGAAUUCUAAGUGUAACAUAUACUAACAUGACAUAUGCAUAAGUUGAAGAACUGAAAUAUUUACAUAAGGAUAUAUGUCUACCUAAUACCUGCAUCUUGUGUUAUCAUGAUAAAUUGAUGAUACAAAAGCUGUUUUUCUAAUGAUCCAACUGCAGUUUUCAUGAGCUCAUCAACGGUGUAUGAACCAGGGGCGAUGCUUUGAAGGGGCCGGGAGGGGCGCCCGAUCCCCCGAACUUUUCGGCCAGUAGUGUUAUAUAUGUAGUUUUCGUAUAGAAAUUUUUGGGUAUAUAUGUUUUCGACCCCCCGGUUCUAUAGAAUUUUUUGGGUAUAUACGUUUUCGACCCUCCGGUAAAAAAUUUCAAGCUUCGCCACUCGUAUGAACCUCAUCAGUCACAGUGACUGGUGAUAUGGAGGCUUCUUAUCAUAAGAUACCUGCAGAUGCUCUUUGGGUUUCUUAGAAUCUGAUGGGUUCGUUGAUGGUGCUGUCUGUUCUCAGUCGAAGACGACCUGGUUCAGAUUGACGGUACGCAUCUAAAUCAGGUUGUCCCAUCACUGGUUUGCUUAACUUGGAGCCCUAUUAAAAUUAACUUCUUGUGGCGGGCACAGUUAAAUCGGCUCCCUAUGGAGAGGCACUUGCUAAAAGGGGGUGGUGGGUCAAUGUAGAUAGUCUGAAUUGUCCGUUAUGCAGGGGUGCUUAUGGAAACGCUAACCACAUCCUGUUGUCUUGCAUAUGUUGCAAAAGUAGUGUGAUCUUACAUAUGGUCAUGGUGCAAGCUUCCCAUUGCCUCUUUUGGAUCUUCUUGGGCUUCCAAAUCCGUGGUGUCAUCCACUGAUAGUGUGAAUGAUAUCGGCUUGGCACCAUGUCUUCCUUAUUAUGUUUUGUGUUUUGUUUGCCUUUCAUUUCAUGUCAGUUAAUUUAGUCAUAAUAGUUAAGUGUGUUAGUGGGUAGUACUAGUAGCAGUGGGUCUUUAUAUCAAUUCCUUGGUCUGUAGGCUAUAUAAUUAGCCAUGAAGUCUUUGUUUUAGAUCAUAAAUGAAAAGUUAUUAAUUGAAUCAGAAUUCCUCUCUUAUUUUC
Molecule: long non-coding RNA, 1485 nt
Organism: Helianthus annuus (common sunflower)
Lineage: Eukaryota; Viridiplantae; Streptophyta; Magnoliopsida; Asterales; Asteraceae
Exons: 2
Source: RefSeq, a predicted model, not a curated record